RNAcentral lists this ribosomal RNA (422 nucleotides) under uncultured bacterium. Its description in RNAcentral is "bacterial SSU rRNA". It matches the Rfam family "Bacterial small subunit ribosomal RNA", at positions 35 to 450 of the family's 1533-position model. The record is from RNAcentral.
GCUGGCGGCGUGCUUAACACAUGCAAGUCGAACGUGAAGCUUUAUUUCUUCGGAUAUGAAGCGGAAAGUGGCGGACGGGUGAGUAACGCGUUGGUGACCUACCUUGAGGAGGGGGAUAACCACUGGGAAACCAUGGCUAAUACCCCGGAUGUCUAGGUGCCUAGAAAGCCUAGACUAAAGCUCCGGCGCCUCGAGAUGGGCCUGCGUGCUAUCAUGCUUGUUGGUGGGGUAAUGGCCUACCAAGGCUAAGACGGCUAGGGGGCGUGAGAGCGUGGCCCCCCACAAUGGAACUGAGACACGGUCCAUACUCCUACGGGAGGCAGCAGUGAGGAAUAUUGCGCAAUGGGGGAAACCCUGACGCAGCAACGCCGCGUGGAUGAUGAAGGCCCUCGGGUUGUAAAGUCCUUUUCUGAGGGAAGAUA